CAGAACAACGAGUGUCCACCUUAACAACUGUGUUUAUCGGGUAUAUGCUACAUAAUAUAAGUAAAACUUGAUGAUACACUUAGUGGAAUGGAAUCUGGAGUUGAUGAAGCUAUGAGAAAGAAAUAUAUAUUUGUACAAACCAAAUAAAUUUACAAAAUGUUGUUAGAAUAAACCUUAAGACAACUUU
This is a long non-coding RNA of Saccostrea cuccullata (small rock oyster), 187 nucleotides long. RefSeq lists it as uncharacterized. The record is from RefSeq and is a predicted model, not a curated record. NCBI's taxonomy places the organism in Eukaryota, Metazoa, Mollusca, Bivalvia, Ostreida, Ostreidae. The transcript is spliced from 2 exons.